Molecule: ribosomal RNA, 200 nt
Filed under: uncultured bacterium
Lineage: Bacteria
Description: partial 16S ribosomal RNA
Rfam family: Bacterial small subunit ribosomal RNA
Source: RNAcentral
GGCUGCAACUCGCCUACACGAAGCUGGAAUCGCUAGUAAUCGCGGAUCAGCACGCCGCGGUGAAUACGUUCCCGGGCCUUGUACACACCGCCCGUCGCACCAUGAGAGUCUGUAACACCCAAAGCCGGUGGGAUAACCUUUAUAGGAGUCAGCCGUCUAAGGUAGGACAGAUGAUUAGGGUGAAGUCGUAACAAGGUACC